Non-coding RNA from Pangasius djambal, 72 nucleotides. Lineage: Eukaryota; Metazoa; Chordata; Actinopteri; Siluriformes; Pangasiidae. The record is from the annotation of a GenBank genome assembly.
UCCCCGGAGGACCAUUGGUUAGGCCACGGCACUCUCACCGCCAAGGCCUGGGUUCGAUUCCUAGCCAGGGAA